Daphnia pulicaria is the source of this 355-nucleotide long non-coding RNA. RefSeq lists it as uncharacterized. NCBI's taxonomy places the organism in Eukaryota, Metazoa, Arthropoda, Branchiopoda, Diplostraca, Daphniidae. The record is from RefSeq and is a predicted model, not a curated record. The transcript has 3 exons.
GUACUGUUUUCACAUGGAUUGGGAUGAGUAUUGCAAAAGAUACCAACAGGAAUCCAAUGAAAAGGACAACAGCUUUGUUACUAAGAGCUGCAGCCACCUCAAACAUUUGGCAAAAGCCUUAUUCUAAAAUUUCAUCCAACUGCAAGAAGGGACCAUUGAGCCUUUCGACAAAUUCAAAUAGAGCGCAGCCACCCAAUAUCGUUCAGGUGGAAUCGCAACUUUUGACAGAGUUUCAUCCGACUGCAAUAGAUAAGGAGGGACCGUUCAGCCUUGCGACAACUUCAAGCAAACAGAGCGUAUACUAUCAAAUGUCGUCCUGGCGGAGUAGGAACUUCCGACUCGGUUGGACGUGGAG